GUCACGCCUAACGAUGUCAACUGGUUGUUGGGAGGGUUUCUUCUCAGUAACGAAGCUAACGCGUGAAGUUGACCGCCUGGGGAGUACGGCCGCAAGGUUGAAACUCAAAGGAAUUGACGGGACCCGCACAAGCGGUGGAUGAUGUGGUUUAAUUCGAUGCAACGCGAAAAACCUUAACCUACUCUUGACAUGUCAAGAAUUUCGCAGAGAUGUGGAAGUGCUCGAAAGAGAACUUGAACACAGGUGCUGCAUGGCUGUCGU
RNAcentral lists this ribosomal RNA (261 nucleotides) under uncultured bacterium. Its description in RNAcentral is "partial 16S ribosomal RNA". It matches the Rfam family "Bacterial small subunit ribosomal RNA", at positions 794 to 1055 of the family's 1533-position model. The record is from RNAcentral.